This 464-nucleotide ribosomal RNA is filed under the name uncultured bacterium. Its description in RNAcentral is "partial 16S ribosomal RNA". It matches the Rfam family "Bacterial small subunit ribosomal RNA", at positions 339 to 795 of the family's 1533-position model. The record is from RNAcentral.
CUACGGGCCGCAGCAGUGGGGAAUAUUGCACAAUGGGCGCAAGCCUGAUGCAGCCAUGCCGCGUGUAUGAAGAAGGCCUUCGGGUUGUAAAGUACUUUCAGCGGGGAGGAAGGGAGUAAAGUUAAUACCUUUGCUCAUUGACGUUACCCGCAGAAGAAGCACCGGCUAACUCCGUGCCAGCAGCCGCGGUAAUACGGAGGGUGCAAGCGUUAAUCGGAAUUACUGGGCGUAAAGCGCACGCAGGCGGUUUGUUAAGUCAGAUGUGAAAUCCCCGGGCUCAACCUGGGAACUGCAUCUGAUACUGGCGAGCUUGAGUCUCGUAGAGGGGGGUAGAAUUCCAGGUGUAGCGGUGAAAUGCGUAGAGAUCUGGAGGAACACCGGUGGCGAAGGCGGCCCCCUGGACGAAGACUGACGCUCAGGUGCGAAAGCGUGGGGAGCAAACAGGAUUAGAUACCCUCGUAGUC